This is a long non-coding RNA of Pipistrellus kuhlii (Kuhl's pipistrelle), 371 nucleotides long. RefSeq lists it as uncharacterized. The transcript has 2 exons. Lineage: Eukaryota; Metazoa; Chordata; Mammalia; Chiroptera; Vespertilionidae. The record is from RefSeq and is a predicted model, not a curated record.
UUCUAAAGGAAAUGUGGAUCUCUUUCAGGCCAAGAUUUAGUCUCGUUUCCACUAGACAGCAGGUUAAUACCUAGUUCUCAUUUAAAAAAGAGUGGGGUAAGGGGCCUAAUUAGGUUUGCUGGUUGUUGUUUUUUUUUUUAAAUUAAUUCCAAAGCAUGGCAGAAUGCUAUAGGUAGGAAAUAGGGAAAUCCAAGGUAAAGAAACCUUUUUCUUAUGAUUUGUAGCUACCUACUGUGCCUGACUUGGUGCCUGUGUGAGGAUUAAGCCCUUAGUCUGCUCUUGCAAUUACUCGAGUGACAAGUUUAAAAAUACUUGCUUUUGUAAUAAUAAAAGCUGUCACCUACCCUUUUGAAAAAAUAAAUAAGAUAAAA